GACGAACGCUGGCGGCGUGCUUAACACAUGCCAGUCGAACGGAAAGGCCCUGCUUUUGUGGGGUGCUCGAGUGGCGAACGGGUGAGUAACACGUGAGUAACCUGCCCUUGACUUUGGGAUAACUUCAGGAAACUGGGGCUAAUACCGGAUAGGAGCUCCUGCUGCAUGGUGGGGGUUGGAAAGUUUCGGCGGUUGGGGAUGGACUCGCGGCUUAUCAGCUUGUUGGUGGGGUAGUGGCUUACCAAGGCUUUGACGGGUAGCCGGCCUGAGAGGGUGACCGGCCACAUUGGGACUGAGAUACGGACCAGACUCCUACGGGAGGCAGCAGUGGGGAAUAUUGCACAGUGGGCGGAAGCCUGAUGCAGCAACGCCGCGUGCGGGAUGACGGCCUUCGGGUUGUAAACCGCUUUCGCCUGUGACGAAGCGUGGGUGACGGUAAUGGGUAAAGAAGCACCGGCUAACUACGUG
Molecule: ribosomal RNA, 468 nt
Filed under: uncultured bacterium
Lineage: Bacteria
Description: partial 16S ribosomal RNA
Rfam family: Bacterial small subunit ribosomal RNA
Source: RNAcentral